This 1294-nucleotide ribosomal RNA is filed under the name Microbacterium sp. 13630I. RNAcentral describes it as "16S ribosomal RNA". It matches the Rfam family "Bacterial small subunit ribosomal RNA", at positions 213 to 1516 of the family's 1533-position model. Lineage: Bacteria; Bacillati; Actinomycetota; Actinomycetes; Micrococcales; Microbacteriaceae. The record is from RNAcentral.
UUUUGGUUGGGGAUGAGCUCGCGGCCUAUCAGCUUGUUGGUGAGGUAAUGGCUCACCAAGGCGUCCACGGGUAGCCGGCCUGAGAGGGUGACCGGCCACACUGGGACUGAGACACGGCCCAGACUCCUACGGGAGGCAGCAGUGGGGAAUAUUGCACAAUGGGCGGAAGCCUGAUGCAGCAACGCCGCGUGAGGGAUGACGGCCUUCGGGUUGUAAACCUCUUUUAGCAGGGAAGAAGCGAGAGUGACGGUACCUGCAGAAAAAGCGCCGGCUAACUACGUGCCAGCAGCCGCGGUAAUACGUAGGGCGCAAGCGUUAUCCGGAAUUAUUGGGCGUAAAGAGCUCGUAGGCGGUUUGUCGCGUCUGCUGUGAAAUCCCGAGGCUCAACCUCGGGCCUGCAGUGGGUACGGGCAGACUAGAGUGCGGUAGGGGAGAUUGGAAUUCCUGGUGUAGCGGUGGAAUGCGCAGAUAUCAGGAGGAACACCGAUGGCGAAGGCAGAUCUCUGGGCCGUAACUGACGCUGAGGAGCGAAAGGGUGGGGAGCAAACAGGCUUAGAUACCCUGGUAGUCCACCCCGUAAACGUUGGGAACUAGUUGUGGGGUCCAUUCCACGGAUUCCGUGACGCAGCUAACGCAUUAAGUUCCCCGCCUGGGGAGUACGGCCGCAAGGCUAAAACUCAAAGGAAUUGACGGGGACCCGCACAAGCGGCGGAGCAUGCGGAUUAAUUCGAUGCAACGCGAAGAACCUUACCAAGGCUUGACAUAUACGAGAACGGGCCAGAAAUGGUCAACUCUUUGGACACUCGUAAACAGGUGGUGCAUGGUUGUCGUCAGCUCGUGUCGUGAGAUGUUGGGUUAAGUCCCGCAACGAGCGCAACCCUCGUUCUAUGUUGCCAGCACGUAAUGGUGGGAACUCAUGGGAUACUGCCGGGGUCAACUCGGAGGAAGGUGGGGAUGACGUCAAAUCAUCAUGCCCCUUAUGUCUUGGGCUUCACGCAUGCUACAAUGGCCGGUACAAUGGGCAGCGAUACCGUGAGGUGGAGCGAAUCCCAAAAAGCCGGUCCCAGUUCGGAUUGAGGUCUGCAACUCGACCUCAUGAAGUCGGAGUCGCUAGUAAUCGCAGAUCAGCAACGCUGCGGUGAAUACGUUCCCGGGUCUUGUACACACCGCCCGUCAAGUCAUGAAAGUCGGUAACACCUGAAGCCGGUGGCCUAACCCUUGUGGAGGGAGCUGUCGAAGGUGGGAUCGGUAAUUAGGACUAAGUCGUAACAAGGUAGCCGUACCGGAAGGUGCG